UUACGGCCACAUCACGUUGAGACAUCGGUUCCCGUAUGAUCACCGAAGUUAAGCAACGUCGAGCUUAGUCAGUAACAGUACUUAGUGACCGCUUGGGAAUUUCAGGUGCUGAAAG
Non-coding RNA from Acanthosepion pharaonis, 115 nucleotides. NCBI's taxonomy places the organism in Eukaryota, Metazoa, Mollusca, Cephalopoda, Sepiida, Sepiidae. The record is from the annotation of a GenBank genome assembly.